Molecule: ribosomal RNA, 425 nt
Filed under: uncultured bacterium
Lineage: Bacteria
Description: partial 16S ribosomal RNA
Rfam family: Bacterial small subunit ribosomal RNA
Source: RNAcentral
GUGGGGAAUCUUGCGCAAUGGGCGAAAGCCUGACGCAGCCAUGCCGCGUGGAUGAUGAAGGUCUUAGGAUUGUAAAAUCCUUUCACCGGUGAAGAUAAUGACUGUAGCCGGAGAAGAAGCCCCGGCUAACUUCGUGCUAGCAGCCGCGGUAAUACGAAGGGGGCUAGCGUUGCUCGGAUUUACUGGGCGGAAAGGGCGCGUAGGCGGACAUUUAAGUCAGGGGUGAAAUCCCGGGGCUAAACCUCGGAACUGCAUUUGAUACUGGGUGUCUUGAGUAUGAGAGAGGUGUGUGGAACUCCGAGCGUAGAGGUGAAAUUCGUAGAUAUUCGGAAGAACACCAGUGGCGAAGGCGACACACUGGCUCAUUACUGACGCUGAGGCGCGAAAGCGUGGGGAGCAAACAGGAUUAGAAACCCUGGUAGUCC